GGGGAUAUAGCUCAGUGGUAGAGCACUUGCCUAACAUUCAAAAGGCUCUGGAUUUGGUCCCCAGUGCCACCA
This 72-nucleotide transfer RNA is filed under the name Fukomys damarensis (Damara mole-rat). It matches the Rfam family "tRNA". Rfam says of the family: Transfer RNA (tRNA) molecules are approximately 80 nucleotides in length. Their secondary structure includes four short double-helical elements and three loops (D, anti-codon, and T loops). The record is from Rfam by way of RNAcentral. Lineage: Eukaryota; Metazoa; Chordata; Mammalia; Rodentia; Bathyergidae.